UGACCAGUUUGUGCUCGCACUCAGGAAUGUCUCCAAAAUGAGCAAAUCUCUUUGGGUUUUGUUAACAUCUUCCCAAAUAUGGCUUUUGGGGGGAGAAGAGCAGACAGGUGCUUUCUCCAAGGAAUCCAGUCAGCCAUUCAGUAAACAUGGAUUAAAUUGGGACUGCACGCCAGGCAGAAAGCUAGGUGAUGCCGUGAAUAGAGAACUGACCCAGCAUCGGUUCUAUCCUCAGAGCCUUAUGAGCUGUGUGACCCUGGGCGACUGAUUUGAGCCCUAUUUGCCUUAGUUCCUUAUCCGGAUGAUGAGGACCUUAUCCGGAGAAGGAAAUGGCGAACUGCUUCUGUAUCUCUGCCAAAAGAUGCCUAGGGACUAGUCACAAAGAGUGAGAAUGAAGAGUAAUACAUGUUCCAGGCCCAGAGGUGAGUGCUGGAAGCAUUUUGAUGGCCCCAUACUGAAGGAACCAGGGCUCCCUGCCAUCAUAAAAGUGUGCGUCUGUCCCACUGGUCUUUGUGAGUGUGAUUUGGUUAAAAAUGAGUUGACAGUGAAAGUUCAAAAAAGGGGAUAUGAGCAGUUGUUGUUACAUUCAAAUUCACCCAGGCCGAGUAAGCAAAUUGAAGAAGGGAUUUUGGAAUACGGCGCAAAUUUGUUCCCACUUGGAAAUGUUGGGGCCCUGGUCGACCUAAGUUCUCUGCCCAUCUCUAGCCCAGGAAAGUGCCCUUCCUCCAUCUCGGGGUGGUGGUUUUUCCACACUUUCCAUCUACUUCAUUUUGUAUAGUUUUCAGCUUCUGGUGCGGGUUGGCAAUUUGUUCACCCCUCUUUCCUUUUCACAAAAAUCCAUUUGUCACUCCCCAUCCCAACUUCUGGCUCCCCUUUAAAUAACUUUGGGGGCACUUACGAUGUCACCAUGAUUUUUCGCUCCUCUCUGUUCUCUUGUUUCAGCGAGAUGACGGCUUUCGUUCAUUUGUGCUCAUGAGAAAAUAUUUUAACUUGUUCCCAAAAAGGAAGGAGAGAAAUAUUAGGCAUUUAAAACACAUUACAAAAGCACUCACUGAGUCAAUGAUGCAGGAUUUAUUAAACGUUUAGUAUAUGCCAGGCAAUGUGCUAAAUGCUGGGGAGGGGAAGACACAAAGAAUUCUUGGGAGCCCACGAAGCGUCCUGUCACCCAAUGGUGACGGAAGCCAGGAAUUCCAAGAGGGCUGGAAGGAGACAGAACCCAAUCAGGAAGCCUCCGAUAAUUGGUCGAGCAGCCUAGGAAAUAAGUAUUUUAUAUUAUUCAGAAAAAGCUCUCGAAAAAGUACCUUUUAUUCACCAUUUUCCAGAAACAAGCAAAAAUUUCAGUUUCACUUAAAAAUAUUUUAUACAUUGUUCUGGGCUUUGAUUGCUUAAGAUAUGGAAACUGAAGUGUUUGCAAAAACUGAGCACUUUUAUUGGGUUUCACACUUCUCUAUACAAAAAAAGGAGGAAGUGAACAAUUCACUGGAAUGAAGAGGGGAAAAGACGAUCGACACCCACUGAAAAAAACAGCCAAAGGAAAACAAUCUGCGCCAGGGAGAGAAGGUGUGUAACUGCUUGGGGGGAAGAGAUAGGUCCAACGAGAGGUAGGGAAAAAAGGAGAACACAAAGAGGUAACAGGCACUAUAUGAUGGACUGGGGAAUAAGAGAGAUAGAUUAGUGUGGAGAAGUGAGAGGCUGAAGAGAGGGUAAGGAGAAGAAGGGAGAUAGAUAAGGGUGGAGGAGUAAGAGAGAGGUGGAAGAGAGGAAAGCAGAGAGGAUAGAGGAAGGGCGAUAGAUUAGGGUGGACAAUUAAGAGAGAAGUAGAAGAGAGGGUAAAGAGAUAAGAUAGAGGAGAAGAAGGGAGAUAGACUAGGGUGGAGGAGUAAGAGAGAGGUGGAAGAGAGGAAAGCAGAGAGGAUAGAGGAAGGGCGAUAGAUUCGGGUGGACAAUUAAGAGAGAGAUAGAAGAGAGGGUAAGGAAAUAAGAGAGAGGAGAAGAAGCGAGAUAGACUAGGGUGGAGGAGUCAGAGAGAGGUGGAAGAGAGGAAAGCAGAGAGGAUAGAGGAGAAGAAGGGAGAUAGACUAGAUGAGAGGUGGAAGAGAGGAAAGCAGAGAGGAUAGAGGAAGGGCGAUAGAUUCGGGUGGACAAUUAAGAGAGAGAUAGAAGAGAGGGUAAGGAAAUAAGAGAGAGGAGAAGAAGAGAGAUAGACUACGGUGGAGGAGUCAGAGAGAGGUGGAAGAGAGGAAAGCAGAGAGGAUAGAGGAAGGGCGAUAGAUUCGGGUGGACAAUUAAGAGAGAGAUAGAAGAGAGGGUAAGGAAAUAAGAGAGAGGAGAAGAAGAGAGAUAGACUACGGUGGAGGAGUCAGAGAGAGGUGGAAGAGAGGAAAGCAGAGAGGAUAGAGGAAGGGCGAUAGAUUCGGGUGGACAAUUAAGAGAGAGAUAGAAGAGAGGGUAAGGAAAUAAGAGAGAGGAGAAGAAGAGAGAUAGACUACGGUGGAGGAGUCAGAGAGAGGUGGAAGAGAGGAAAGCAGAGAGGAUAGAGGAAGGGCGAUAGAUUCGGGUGGACAAUUAAGAGAGAGAUAGAAGAGAGGGUAAGGAAAUAAGAGAGAGGAGAAGAAGAGAGAUAGACUACGGUGGAGGAGUCAGAGAGAGGUGGAAGAGAGGAAAGCAGAGAGGAUAGAGGAGAAGAAGGGAGAUAGACUAGAUGAGAGGUGGAAGAGAGGAAAGCAGAGAGGUGAGAGGAAGGGAGCUAGAUUAGGGUGGAGGAGAAAGAGAGAAGUAGAAGAGAGGGUAAAGAGAUAAGAUAGAGGAGAAGAAGGGAGAUAGACUAGGGUGGAGGAGUCAGAGAGAGGUGGAAGAGAGGAAAGCAGAGAGGAUAGAAGAAGGGCGAUAGAUUAGGGUGGAGGAGAAAGAGAGAAGUAGAAGAGAUAAGAUAGAGGAGAAGAAGGGAGAUAGACUAGGGUGGAGGAGUAAGAGAGGGGUGGAAGAGAGGAAAGCAGAGAGGAUAGAUGUAGAAGAGAAGAAGGGAGAUAGACUAGGGUGAAAGAUUAAGAGACAGGUAGUGGAGAGGAAGGGAGAUAAAUGAGUGUGGAGAAGUAAGAGAAAGGUAGAAUAGAGGGCAAGGAGAUAAGAUAGAGGAGAGGAAGGGAGAUCAGCAGAGAGGAUGAGGGAGAAGAAGGGAGAUAGGAUAGAGGUAGAGGAAAGGAAGCGAGAUAGACUAGUGUGGAGGAGUAAGAGAGAGGUAGGAGCGAGGGUAAGGAGAGAGGGGAGGGGAAAAGAAGGGAGCUUCAACCCUAAGGUUGAAGAUGAAGAGAGGGCAGGGAGGUAGAAAAAAAGUGGAAAGAGACAGGAUAGAGGAGUAGGGCAGCGGAGAGGCAGGGAGAUAGAUUAGAGUGGAGGAUUAACAGAGGGGUAGGGAAAGGAGAUAGUACAGGGGGAAGAGUAAGAGAAAUAGAAUGUGGAGGGGAAGGACAGCCAGGGAAUAGUAGGUAGACUAGGUUGGACGAGACGGAUCUAGGAAGAAAGAAAUAGUUAUUGUGGGAAAGAAAUUGGAAGAUAAAUGGGUAAAGUGCGGAGAGAUAGAGAGAGGUGAUAAAAGGAGAAUGUCAGAAGCUUGAAGUUGCCAUGGGAGUGAUAGGGCAGGAAUUAGGGUCAUUCGGAAAAAACAAACUGGCAAGUGUGAAUGGGGAUUUGGAGAGGGAGGUAGAAGAAAAAGUGGGCAUAGGGGAAGAAAUAGGUAAAAGAAGAAGGAAACAUGUUUGGGAGGAAUAGGGUGAGAAAGAAAUAGAAAUGGGGAUAGAGGAAGGCAUGAAAGGGUAGGAAGAGAGCCAAACGGAGAUGGAGGGGGAGAAAAAAUAACUAUAAAGUAAGGAGAACGUUUGGACAGGGAGAAACAAGAGAAGAAGAGUUGAGGGUGAAAGAAUUGGUGAUGGGAAGAAAUAGGGAGAGAAGUUAAGAGAGAGGGAUGGAGUGAGGAGACCUGGGAGCGAGGAAGAAGGAGAGAACAUCAGAACAUGGUGAGAAAGAAAUGAAGGAGGAGGGAGAGAGAAAUGGAAAGACUUACCUGAACUGAUGCUGAGGGAAGUGAGCAGAACCAGGAGGACAUCCUAGACGGCAGCAGCAAGAUUACCAGAAGAUCAAUUCUGAUGGAUGGGACUCUGUUCAACAGUGAGGUGAUCCAGGCUAGUUCCAAUGGACUUGUAAUAGCGAGCCAUCUGCAACCAGAGAGAGGGCUGAAUGUGGAUCACAACAUAGUAUUCUCACCCUUUUUGUUCUGAUUUUUCUGGGUGGACGUGUAUAGAAGAAUUGCACAUGUUUAACAUAUAUUGAAAAUUAUCUAUGCAUAUGUUUGACAAUAAAAAGUUUUAAAUAAAGAAAAAUCAAUGGAGAGAGAGAUAUAAAUUAAUUCUAAUGAGCGAUAACUCACUUUAAUCACUUUAACCACCUACUAUAUAGUGGAUCAAGGAUGAUGAAAGGAAAAAGAGAUGGUCGAUUAAUAAAAUCCCGGUAAAAAAAAAAAAAUAAAAAAAAAAUAAAAUAAAAUAAAAUAAAAUCCCGGUACAUAAUAACGUAGCUGAAGACAAUUUGUAUAAACAGCCACACGCACUCCAACCAGCCCCCAAAUUACACAUGGACAAAAAUCAUCGAUGGCAACCCCAGCUCUGUCUAUGAAAUGCUAAAUACCGUAAUGACAGAGAAACGCCAUCUCUUUGAAGAUUGCGGGAGAAUCGAAUGCUAUUCUUACCUUGGAUGCUCAUUGUGGGCGUCUGGUAUGUUUCAGCUGAUCUAAAGCCACAGUAGCUCUUUAAAAUGGAGAUGCACUUGAAAUCUCAGGGAGGUGGUGUUUGUUUGUAUGUAUCAAUCCGGUUUGAAACCUAAAAUGACAGAAAUAUCCGUAAGCAUUACUCUCUAUUUAUCUCUCAGUUAAUUCAACAAGUGUACGUGAAAACUUUCACUGUUGAUGAGAUGAACUAGAUUUUUUAAAAAUUACCCUCCAUCUUUGCUGCUUCUUUAUUUUUCUAUCUUUCUUCCCGUAUCUAAGGAUCAUCUAUAGAUGGUCAGUCAUUUUUCAGUUAAGUCUGAUUCUCCAUAACCCUGUUUGGAUUUUGGGGGGUUUUUUGGGCAAAGAUCAUGGACUGGUUUGCCAUUUCUUUCUCCAGCUCAUUUUACGGGUGUGGAAACUGAGGCAAACAGGGUCACCCAGCUAGUGUUUCGGGUUGGAAUUGAACUUAGGGAAGGGUUUUUGCUGACUUGGGGCCGUGUGCUCUACCUACUGCCCAUACAGUUAAUGAUACCUCAUUCCAUAUAAGUGAAUUUUGUAUAACUCCUUUAAGCAAUACUUUUAAAAACUAUCACCGAGGAAAAUCUUUCCAAAAAGUGGUGCACAUUCUCCUUUCUUCCCAAACACUUAAUUGAGCAUAUUUAAAUGACUAAGAAUCGUCAUUAUAAACAUCAGCUAUUCUUACUCUUCAUUGAAACUGUCAAGGUAUACAGAAACCAAAACAAGCGAAACAGACAUCUGAUACACUUCAGGAAAAUGGUUUUUGCAAGGAAACACGCUAGCAGCACACAAAAAGAGCUUUGUAUAAGAAACCAUUACAAACCAUUUGCUUGUUUGAAAAGCAUGUAGUACAUUUUGAAAAGUAUAUCAUAUACUCCACGUUAUUUUUUAAGGCUUUUUUUGUCUGAGAUUCUUUGCAUAUUGAACAUUUUAAUGGCCCCCCCCUUUUUUUUAGUAUGGGGCUAACCUCCCCUUUUCCCUAUAACCCACUCUCCCAAAUUAAAAACGAAAGGUCGGAGGAAAAAAUCCGUGGGAGCCAACGAACACUGUCAAACAGAGCACAUCUACCCAGCGGCUACGCCCAGAAUGGCCGGGUCUGUUUCAGGACCCCAUCGCCUCCGUGUCAGGAAGCGGAUAACAUGUUUCAUCGUAGGUCGCUCAUUGAUCAGAGUUUCUUAAUCUUUCAGAGUUUGUCUUUACGUUGUCAUUCAUGUCAAACUUCUCCCAAUUCCAUACCCUUUUUGUUGCCCAGUUUUCUCCGAGAUCAUCUUUUUCAUCACGCUCAACUACCAUAACUUUGUUUGAAUUCUUCGGGUUAAUGUUGGAAAGUCUAUUUUAUUUCUGACUAUUUCCUCCGCCCUCUUUUCUCUGGUUAGAUAAAAGGAGAGUUCAGCUGACUACAGGUCCUGCCCACAUACCUUCUUUCAUCCUUGUAUACUCUUCUUCUCAUAUCCCCCAAUUACAAGAAAUACCCAGUUCCACCUCCUCCCUCCUCUUUUCUACACUUGUAUGUUCAUUUUACCUUCCCUUUAAAACCCUCAGAUCAGAAUCAAUAUACCGCCUCCCAAGUCCUCUUUUUUUCAUUAUUUAAUUCCCUCAGUACCCUUUGAAGACAUUAAGCUUCUGAAGGGACACUUGUUUCUUCUCCCUCUAGGAGAAUGUUAGUACUGCAUCAUCAUCUUUCUAAUUCUUCAAAUACGCUGACCUUUCUCGGUUUUCCCGGACUCUUACGUUUGC
Molecule: long non-coding RNA, 6511 nt
Organism: Antechinus flavipes (yellow-footed antechinus)
Lineage: Eukaryota; Metazoa; Chordata; Mammalia; Dasyuromorphia; Dasyuridae
Exons: 11
Source: RefSeq, a predicted model, not a curated record